Long non-coding RNA from Solanum dulcamara, 984 nucleotides. RefSeq lists it as uncharacterized. The transcript is spliced from 4 exons. The record is from RefSeq and is a predicted model, not a curated record. Lineage: Eukaryota; Viridiplantae; Streptophyta; Magnoliopsida; Solanales; Solanaceae.
CCCUACCCCUUUCGUAAGAAAAGAUGAGAAAUCUCUCAAUUUUUCCGCACACCCAUUUCCCACCCCUCCAAAGAAAAGUCCACCAUAUCGUCUUCUCCCCAAGAAAACAGAGAUACAUAGGGAGUGAAUAACUCAAGUUUUUAACCACAUUCCCUAGAAACCUACAUAAGGGAGUGAACAACUCAAGUUCUUAACCACAGCGACUUCCAUUGCAGAAUUGAUUUGUUGGAGAAAAAUCAGAAAACAAACCCAGAUAAUGAUUUUUUUCAAGCUCUUUAUAAAGGAAAUCAACGUCUUUUUUAUUAUCGCAGAAAUCAACUUUUCCUUCCUACCUAUUUUUGCUGGUCUGAGUGCUAAUAACUGGUCAUAUUCUUCGAUUUUCCUUUUGUCCAAAGUAUUAGAAUAUCAGGCUGUAAGAGACAUCCUUUCUCCUGAGAACAUUAACGGAGACACACCUAGAGAUGGAGUUCAGAGGCGUAUCAAACAUCUUCUCAUAAAAUGGGACGGAGGGAGUACUUUGUGACAUUUAGAAGACUCUGUAGGAAGGUUCAGAGAGCUUUUGCAGUUGGAUUUGGUGGUAGGAUAACCACUAAGGAGUUGAAAGGGGUACCACCUCCAAGGCUGCAUUGUUGGAAGAGCUGAAAACAACUCGAAAUGAAAAGGAAUCACUACAAAAGCGCAUGGAUAUUCUAGAUAGUAAAUAUGAGCACCUUGAAAGUAUAGUGGUUCGUCCUCCUUCAUCACCUCCAUCAGACGAAGAAUUUGAAGAUUAAAGAAUGUGUUGUCGAAGAUUGUGGGGCCAUCUGAAAAGAAGAUUAUAUUUUUAUUGUUUUAUUGUUGGUGCAACGACGAUUGUACCUAUGCUACAAUUUCAUUUUCUCAAUUUUUAGGAUUUGGUAGAUGUCGAACAAGUACGUUUUGUGAUAUUAUGUCGAACAUGUAUGUCAUUAGAUCUUAUGUCAAAAAUGUAAUAGUUUUUCAGUA